RNAcentral lists this RNase P RNA (408 nucleotides) under Puniceicoccales bacterium. Its description in RNAcentral is "RNase P RNA component class A". It matches the Rfam family "Bacterial RNase P class A". Rfam says of the family: Ribonuclease P (RNase P) is a ubiquitous endoribonuclease, found in archaea, bacteria and eukarya as well as chloroplasts and mitochondria. Its best characterised activity is the generation of mature 5'-ends of tRNAs by cleaving the 5'-leader elements of precursor-tRNAs. The record is from RNAcentral. Lineage: Bacteria; Pseudomonadati; Verrucomicrobiota; Opitutia; Puniceicoccales.
GUUCGUGCGCGGGCGUCCGCUCGGAACGCGAGUUUCGAGAGGAAAGUCCGGACACCACAGGGCGGGAUUCCGCGUGAAAGCGCGGGCGCCGUUCGUCAAGGGACGGUGACGGAAAGUGUCACAGAAAACAUACCGCCGGCGGGUCGCGAGAUUCGCCGGCAAGGGUGAAAAGGUGGUGUAAGAGACCACCGCGCCGGCGGUGACGCCGGUGGCAGGACAAACCCAAUCCGGUGCAAGGCAAAAUAGGGAGGCGGGCUGCCCGUCCAAUGCCUCCGGGUAGUGUCGCGCCGCCGGCAACGGCGGAACGGCGGAAGCGGGGAAACCCGCCGGCGCCGUUAGAAGAAUGGACGCCACCGGCGCCGGAAACGGCGUCAGGAACAGAAUCCGGCUUACAGCGCGCGAACCAGU